RNAcentral lists this ribosomal RNA (550 nucleotides) under bacterium BaA1-2. RNAcentral's name for it is "bacterial SSU rRNA". It matches the Rfam family "Bacterial small subunit ribosomal RNA", at positions 79 to 613 of the family's 1533-position model. The record is from RNAcentral.
CUUGCUCCCUGAUGUUAGCGGCGGACGGGUGAGUAACACGUGGGUAACCUGCCUGUAAGAGUGGGAUAACUCCGGGAAACCGGGGCUAAUACCGGAUGGUUGUUUGAACCGCAUGGUUCGGACAUAAAAGGUGGCUUCGGCUACCACUUACACAUGGACCCGCGGCGCAUUAGCUAGUUGGUGAGGUAACGGCUCACCAAGGCGACUAUGCGUAGCCGACCUGAGAGGGUGAUCGGCCACACUGGGACUGAGACACGGCCCAGACUCCUACGGGAGGCAGCAGUAGGGAAUCUUCCGCAAUGGACGAAAGUCUGACGGAGCAACGCCACGUGAGUGAUGAAGGUUUUCGGAUCGUAAAGCUCUGUUGUUAGGGAAGAACAAGUGCCGUUCAAAUAGGGCGGCACCUUGACGGUACCUAACCAGAAAGCCACGGCUAACUACGUGCCAGCAGCCGCGGGAAUACGUAGGUGGCAAGCGUUGUCCGGAAUUAUUGGGCGUAAAGGGCUCGCAUGCGGUUUCUUAAGUCUGAUGUGAAAGCCCCCGGCUCGAC